RNAcentral lists this ribosomal RNA (611 nucleotides) under uncultured bacterium. RNAcentral's name for it is "bacterial SSU rRNA". The stretch from base 1 to 517 matches the Rfam family "Bacterial small subunit ribosomal RNA", at positions 338 to 873 of the family's 1533-position model. The record is from RNAcentral.
CCUACGGGAGGCAGCAGUGGGGAAUAUUGGACAAUGGGCGAAAGCCUGAUCCAGCAAUGCCGCGUGAGUGAUGAAGGCCUUAGGGUUGUAAAGCUCUUUUACCAGGGAUGAUAAUGACAGUACCUGGAGAAUAAGCUCCGGCUAACUCCGUGCCAGCAGCCGCGGUAAUACGGAGGGAGCUAGCGUUGUUCGGAAUUACUGGGCGUAAAGCGUGCGUAGGCGGUGAUUCAAGUCAGAGGUGAAAGCCUGGAGCUCAACUCCAGAACGGCCUUUGAAACUAGAUCGCUAGAAUUAUGGAGAGGUAAGUGGAAUUCCGAGUGUAGAGGUGAAAUUCGUAGAUAUUCGGAAGAACACCAGUGGCGAAGGCGACUUACUGGACAUAUAUUGACGCUGAGGUACGAAAGCGUGGGGAGCAAACAGGAUUAGAUACCCUGGUAGUCCACGCCGUAAACGAUGAUAACUAGCUGUUCGGGCUCUCAGAGCUUGAGUGGCGCAGCUACGCAUUAAGUUAUCCGCCGUCGGGUAGGUACGGUCGCGAAGAAUUAAAACUUAAAAUUAGUAAGUUAGUACGGCGUGAGACGUGCCGACGGACGACGACGAGGGAGGUUAGG